GCGGCGGACGGCCGAGCAACGCGGGGGGAACCGGCCCGGGACACACAGACAACAUAUUUUAAGGCAUGCUAAUACGGGAUAACAUAAGAAAGUCGCGGGGCUUUCUUAUCAAAGCUUUUGCGGUACAGGAUGGACCCGCGUCUGAUUAGCUAGUUGGUAAGGUAACGGCUUACCAAGGCGACUAUCAGUAGCCGACCUGAGAGGGUGAUCGGCCACAUUGGAACUGAGACACGGUCCAAACUCCUACGGGACGCAGCACUGGGGAAUAUUGCACAAUGGGCGAAAGCCUGAUGCAACAACGCCGCGUGAGCGAUGAAGGCCUUCGGGGCGGGGAGCUCUGUCCUCAAGGAAGAUAAUGACGGUACUUGAGGAGGAAGCCCCGGCUAACUACGUGCCAGCAGCCGCGGUAAUACGUAAGGGGCUAGCGUUAUCCGGAAUUACUGGGCGUAAAGGGUGCGUACGCGGUUUCUUAAGUCAGAAGUGAAAGGCUACGGCUCAACCGUACUAAGCUUUUGAAACUGAGAAACUUGAGUGCAGGAGAGGAGAGUAGAAUUCCUAGUGUAGCGGUGAAAUGCG
Molecule: ribosomal RNA, 576 nt
Filed under: uncultured organism
Description: SSU rRNA
Rfam family: Bacterial small subunit ribosomal RNA
Source: RNAcentral